UCUCUGCUUUCUGACUGGCUAGUAGUCCCUUACCUAGGUACUGUCAGGACCCUCAUACUCUGCUUCUGACUGGCUAUAUCCUUUACCUAGUUACUGUCAGGGACCCUCAUACUCUUCUCCUGAC
This is a long non-coding RNA of Etheostoma spectabile (orangethroat darter), 124 nucleotides long. RefSeq lists it as uncharacterized. The record is from RefSeq and is a predicted model, not a curated record. NCBI's taxonomy places the organism in Eukaryota, Metazoa, Chordata, Actinopteri, Perciformes, Percidae. The transcript has 2 exons.